AAAUUUUUUUUUUUUUUUUUUUUAUUAAAAAAAAAAAUUUCUCGCACAAAGAAUCACACACGCUGAUCACAGUACAACUAACCAUGUUUUCCCAAUAUUUUCGCCUUUUAUGCAUUUGUUGGUGUCAAGGCUGAACCAAUCAGCGUAAGCCAUUCCACAUCUUCCAUCUGAUUGGUGCGUUUAAGCUACCAAAAUUGCUCGACAUUCGAGAACAAGGCCGCAAUAAAAAAUUCGCUGACGAAGCGAGCAGAUGUUAGAUCGCUAACCGUCACUUUUUCGUUCUAUCGUUUAAAAUAUUAUUUCUAGUCACAUUCUCGUUAUUCAAAUUCAUUUAGCAAAAUUUUCAACAGAAGAUGGAUUAUUCGCACAAUCAUCUGUAACAAAAAUACGUGUAAUACAAGAAUACUGUAACACUAGGCUAAUUAUUAGCAGUGUCGGAAAGUUGAGCGCGGCGAUGAGGUCCUUGGAGUGUAGCCUUCCACAGACUCGUAAUGUUCUCUCUUCGUUCGUGGCGGGACUCGUUUGACGACUUACCAAGAAACGAGGUCAAUUGCAUACAAUCUUGACUAAUAAUUCUAAGCGGGUUUAGGAACGAUAGUAGUAAUACCAGUAGCCUAUACGCCUUCAUUAACCGAUUAAUAUCCAACAAAAAGAAAGUAUUGAUGUGCUUACGGAAUUUCAUAAUCAUAUUGGUUCCGAGUCAAUGUAAAAUUUACACAUAUAAUUUACACGUAAUAAACAGAUAACU
Apis dorsata (giant honeybee) is the source of this 748-nucleotide long non-coding RNA. RefSeq lists it as uncharacterized. The record is from RefSeq and is a predicted model, not a curated record. The transcript has 2 exons. Lineage: Eukaryota; Metazoa; Arthropoda; Insecta; Hymenoptera; Apidae.